Molecule: ribosomal RNA, 2980 nt
Filed under: Salmonella enterica subsp. enterica serovar Infantis
Lineage: Bacteria; Pseudomonadati; Pseudomonadota; Gammaproteobacteria; Enterobacterales; Enterobacteriaceae
Description: 23S ribosomal RNA
Rfam family: Bacterial large subunit ribosomal RNA
Source: RNAcentral
GGUUAAGCGACUAAGCGUACACGGUGGAUGCCCCGGCAGUCAGAGGCGAUGAAGGGCGUGCUAAUCUGCGAUAAGCGCCGGUAAGGUGAUAUGAACCGUUAUAACCGGCGAUACCCGAAUGGGGAAACCCAGUGUGACUCGUCACACUAUCAUUAACUGAAUCCAUAGGUUAAUGAGGCGAACCGGGGAACUGAAACAUCUAAGUACCCCGAGGAAAAGAAAUCAACCGAGAUUCCCCCAGUAGCGGCGAGCGAACGGGGAGGAGCCCAGAGCCUGAAUCAGCAUGUGUGUUAGUGGAAGCGUCUGGAAAGGCGCGCGAUACAGGGUGACAGCCCCGUACACAAAAGCGCAUGUGCUGUGAGCUCGAUGAGUAGGGCGGGACACGUGGUAUCCUGUCUGAAUAUGGGAGAUCAUCCUCCAAGGCUAAAUACUCCUGACUGACCGAUAGUGAACCAGUACCGUGAGGGAAAGGCGAAAAGAACCCCGGCGAGGGAGUGAAAAAGAACCUGAAACCGUGUACGUACAAGCAGUGGGAGCACAGGUUUACCUGUGUGACUGCGUACCUUUUGUAUAAUGGGUCAGCGACUUAUAUUCUGUAGCAAGGUUAACCGUAUAGGGGAGCCGGAGGGAAACCGAGUCUUAACCGGGCGUUAAGUUGCAGGGUAUAGACCCGAAACCCGGUGAUCUAGCCAUGGGCAGGUUGAAGGUUGGGUAACACUAACUGGAGGACCGAACCGACUAAUGUUGAAAAAUUAGCGGAUGACCUGUGGCUGGGGGUGAAAGGCCAAUCAAACCGGGAGAUAGCUGGUUCUCCCCGAAAGCUAUUUAGGUAGCGCCUCGUGAAUUCAUCUCCGGGGGUAGAGCACUGUUUCGGCUAGGGGGCCAUCCCGGCUUACCAACCCGAUGCAAACUGCGAAUACCGGAGAAUGUUAUCACGGGAGACACACGGCGGGUGCUAACGUCCGUCGUGAAGAGGGAAACAACCCAGACCGCCAGCUAAGGUCCCAAAGUCAUGGUUAAGUGGGAAACGAUGUGGGAAGGCCCAGACAGCCAGGAUGUUGGCUUAGAAGCAGCCAUCAUUUAAAGAAAGCGUAAUAGCUCACUGGUCGAGUCGGCCUGCGCGGAAGAUGUAACGGGGCUAAACCAUGCACCGAAGCUGCGGCAGCGAACGUAUCACUUAAAGCGAUUCAGCGGGUUACGAUUGACGGAGCGAAGCGACGUCAAAGCGUAUACAAAGUCGAGUCGGUUUAAGGAUACGUUCGUUGGGUAGGGAGCGUUCUGUAAGCCUGUGAAGGUGUGUCGUGAGGCAUGCUGGAGGUAUCAGAAGUGCGAAUGCUGACAUAAGUAACGAUAAAGCGGGUGAAAAGCCCGCUCGCCGGAAGACCAAGGGUUCCUGUCCAACGUUAAUCGGGGCAGGGUGAGUCGACCCCUAAGGCGAGGCCGAAAGGCGUAGUCGAUGGGAAACGGGUUAAUAUUCCCGUACUUGGUGUUACUGCGAAGGGGGACGGAGAAGGCUAUGUUGGCCGGGCGACGGUUGUCCCGGUUUAAGCGUGUAGGCUGGUUUUCCAGGCAAAUCCGGAAAAUCAAGGCUGAGGCGUGAUGACGAGGCACUACGGUGCUGAAGCAACAAAUGCCCUGCUUCCAGGAAAAGCCUCUAAGCAUCAGGUAACAUCAAAUCGUACCCCAAACCGACACAGGUGGUCAGGUAGAGAAUACCAAGGCGCUUGAGAGAACUCGGGUGAAGGAACUAGGCAAAAUGGUGCCGUAACUUCGGGAGAAGGCACGCUGACACGUAGGUGAAGUGAUUUACUCAUGGAGCUGAAGUCAGUCGAAGAUACCAGCUGGCUGCAACUGUUUAUUAAAAACACAGCACUGUGCAAACACGAAAGUGGACGUAUACGGUGUGACGCCUGCCCGGUGCCGGAAGGUUAAUUGAUGGGGUCAGCGCAAGCGAAGCUCCUGAUCGAAGCCCCGGUAAACGGCGGCCGUAACUAUAACGAUCCUAAGGUAGCGAAAUUCCUUGUCGGGUAAGUUCCGACCUGCACGAAUGGCGUAAUGAUGGCCAGGCUGUCUCCACCCGAGACUCAGUGAAAUUGAACUCGCUGUGAAGAUGCAGUGUACCCGCGGCAAGACGGAAAGACCCCGUGAACCUUUACUAUAGCUUGACACUGAACAUUGAGCCUUGAUGUGUAGGAUAGGUGGGAGGCUUUGAAGCGUGGACGCCAGUCUGCGUGGAGCCGACCUUGAAAUACCACCCUUUAAUGUUUGAUGUUCUAACGUGGACCCGUGAUCCGGGUUGCGGACAGUGUCUGGUGGGUAGUUUGACUGGGGCGGUCUCCUCCUAAAGAGUAACGGAGGAGCACGAAGGUUGGCUAAUCCUGGUCGGACAUCAGGAGGUUAGUGCAAUGGCAUAAGCCAGCUUGACUGCGAGCGUGACGGCGCGAGCAGGUGCGAAAGCAGGUCAUAGUGAUCCGGUGGUUCUGAAUGGAAGGGCCAUCGCUCAACGGAUAAAAGGUACUCCGGGGAUAACAGGCUGAUACCGCCCAAGAGUUCAUAUCGACGGCGGUGUUUGGCACCUCGAUGUCGGCUCAUCACAUCCUGGGGCUGAAGUAGGUCCCAAGGGUAUGGCUGUUCGCCAUUUAAAGUGGUACGCGAGCUGGGUUUAGAACGUCGUGAGACAGUUCGGUCCUAUCUGCCGUGGGCGCUGGAGAACUGAGGGGCUGCUCCUAGUACGAGAGGACUAGGAGUGGACGCAUCACUGGUGUUCGGGUUGUCAUGCCAAUGGCACUGCCCGGUAGCUAAAUGCGGAAGAGAUAAGUGCUGAAAGCAUCUAAGCACGAAACUUGCCCCGAGAUGAGUUCUCCCUGAGACUUAAAGUCUCCUGAAGGAACGUUGAAGACGACGACGUUGAUAGGCCGGGUGUGUAAGCGCAGCGAUGCGUUGAGCUAACCGGUACUAAUGAACCGUGAGGCUUAACCUU